This 69-nucleotide transfer RNA is filed under the name Micrastur gilvicollis. RNAcentral's name for it is "tRNA-Phe". The record is from RNAcentral. Lineage: Eukaryota; Metazoa; Chordata; Aves; Falconiformes; Falconidae.
GUCUCUGUAGCUUACAGCAAAGCAUGGCUUUGAAGAUGCCAAGACGGCCCGCCUCCUGACCCGGAGACA